AGGAUACCUCUAUGGAAAUAUUGAAGAGCCAUUCCACGACAUUUGUGAAGACGUUAUAUAUCAAUCACGAGUGAUGAUUUCAAGGUGCAAAAUAUUCGUUCAAGUUAAUAUGGCUUAUUUAUUUAUCAAAUAUCUAGCAAAGAUUGUUUUGAAGAUGGUGCACAAGAUUGGAAUGCAAAGGCUCAAAUAUGUGAAUUGAU
Molecule: long non-coding RNA, 200 nt
Filed under: Nicotiana benthamiana
Lineage: Eukaryota; Viridiplantae; Streptophyta; Magnoliopsida; Solanales; Solanaceae
Description: long non-coding RNA (NBEN_LNC000010)
Source: RNAcentral